UAAACGACUCUCGGCAACGGAUAUCUCGGCUCACGCAUCGAUGAAGAAGUAGCAAAAUGCGAUACUUGGUGUGAAUUGCAGAAUCCCGUGAACCAUCGAGUUUUUGAACGCAAGUUGCGCCCGAAGCCUUUUGGCCGAGGGCACGUCUGCCUGGGCGUCACAC
RNAcentral lists this ribosomal RNA (163 nucleotides) under Senecio massaicus. RNAcentral's name for it is "5.8S ribosomal RNA". It matches the Rfam family "5.8S ribosomal RNA". From Rfam's summary of the family: 5.8S ribosomal RNA (5.8S rRNA) is a component of the large subunit of the eukaryotic ribosome. It is transcribed by RNA polymerase I as part of the 45S precursor that also contains 18S and 28S rRNA. Lineage: Eukaryota; Viridiplantae; Streptophyta; Magnoliopsida; Asterales; Asteraceae. The record is from RNAcentral.